RNAcentral lists this ribosomal RNA (156 nucleotides) under uncultured bacterium. RNAcentral describes it as "partial 16S ribosomal RNA". It matches the Rfam family "Bacterial small subunit ribosomal RNA", at positions 355 to 507 of the family's 1533-position model. The record is from RNAcentral.
UGAGGAAUAUUGGUCAAUGGGCGAAAGCCUGAACCAGCCAAGUAGCGUGCAGGAAUGACGGCCCUAUGGGUUGUAAACUGCUUUUAUCCGGGAAUAAAGUGGGGCACGUGUGCCUUUUUGAAAGUACCGCAUGAAUAAGGACCGGCUAAUUCCGUG